RNAcentral lists this transfer RNA (70 nucleotides) under Rhizorhapis suberifaciens (corky root of lettuce). RNAcentral's name for it is "tRNA-Ser". The record is from RNAcentral. Lineage: Bacteria; Pseudomonadati; Pseudomonadota; Alphaproteobacteria; Sphingomonadales; Sphingomonadaceae.
GAGCGCUAUUGGUCUUCGGGUCGGCCUUUUAAUCAGUAGGUCGCUGGUUCGAAUCCAGCAGGGCUCACCA